UCGUCUCUCACCGCGCUCGAUCUGGCAAAGUACCUCUUUUUACAGAUCUUGAGCUGGCUUUCCACCAACAGACUCUUCGGAGUAUGCUGGUGUGAAUACGAGACAAGAUCAAACACAUCUUCGGCGGUUUUUGAGUACGAAUCCAGGCUUUUGCUUCUACAGCCCGGCUUUUUCGUAAUUUACCAGCUCGAUACAA
RNAcentral lists this small nucleolar RNA (196 nucleotides) under Sphaerulina musiva SO2202. The record is from RNAcentral. Lineage: Eukaryota; Fungi; Ascomycota; Dothideomycetes; Mycosphaerellales; Mycosphaerellaceae.